GUCCCCUUCGUCUAGCGGUCAGGACAUCGCUCUUUCACGGCGGCAACAGGGGUUCAAAUCCCCUAGGGGACG
RNAcentral lists this transfer RNA (72 nucleotides) under Candidatus Riesia pediculicola. RNAcentral describes it as "tRNA-Glu". It matches the Rfam family "tRNA". From Rfam's summary of the family: Transfer RNA (tRNA) molecules are approximately 80 nucleotides in length. Their secondary structure includes four short double-helical elements and three loops (D, anti-codon, and T loops). Further hydrogen bonds mediate the characteristic L-shaped molecular structure. tRNAs have two regions of fundamental functional importance: the anti-codon, which is responsible for specific mRNA codon recognition, and the 3' end, to which the tRNAs corresponding amino acid is attached (by aminoacyl-tRNA synthetases). tRNAs cope with the degeneracy of the genetic code in two manners: having more than one tRNA (with a specific anti-codon) for a particular amino acid; and 'wobble' base-pairing, i.e. permitting non-standard base-pairing at the 3rd anti-codon position. RNAcentral also lists the same sequence under 1 other name. The record is from RNAcentral. Lineage: Bacteria; Pseudomonadati; Pseudomonadota; Gammaproteobacteria; Enterobacterales; Enterobacteriaceae.